ACUUUUAUUAGAGAUUGUUCUCACACUUUUCAAAACAGCUUUAUAUUUCUAUAAAAAUAAGUCCAGCUCGGCUUUCAGAGGCUGAUCAGAUGCAGCUCAUACAACUGUGAUUUAAUCUAUAUUCAUUAAUGAUCAAUUAGUGCUUUAGGUAUCCCAUGAACUCUAAAGUAUAGUGAUCAUUUCUUAACAGAAAGCAACAGAGCUUCGUGGUUCACCCUGCAUUCAUUCAUUCAUUGAGGGUUUAAUGAAUGGAUGAGUCAUAACUUACCCAGGUAUUGUUAUUAUAAAGUAUUUCCUUCUCCAAUCUAUUUACCUUCUUUACAAUACUCUGUGCUAUAUGUUUUUGCAGUGAGAUCCUUCAAAACACUGAGCUCACCUCAAAAUAUAUUCUCCAUUAGAGCUGUUCAGUGAGUUUUUUUGUGGCUCUACUAAGUGACAAUUUAUAUCAUUUACACCAGUGUCACGUCUUUAUGCUGCAGAUAUGUGUCUGCAAAUACUUACUGCUGUGGGAAUUCUAGAGUUGUCAGACGAAAACAGCGACUGAUGGAGGCAGACAUGAAGCACUGCACAUCCCCAGUCUAGUUAGUGACAAACACAAAGGCUGCUUUGCUUUGAGAGGCCAUCACGAUCCUCUUAUGCUUAUAUGGUCUUCUUCUUCUUCGUCUUCCUUUAUUUACUGCGCAUAAUGAAAUACUAAAAUGAAUUCUGUAUAAUAAUCACCAUGCUUACAUUUCAGCAAAAAUAUUUACAGAAUUAUAAUUUAUUCUAACAAAGAUGGCAGCUAUGUCUGACACAUGACAAACGUCUUUUUUGUGUUCAAUCAUUUUCCAAAUCUGAGUACUGACAUUCAGCUUCAGGUGAUAUGAAUGUCUCUGCAAAAUUAUAAAAAUUAGGAUAGUGCGCAUCUAUAAAGUGUGUUAACACUAAACUGCGGUUUUUGUUGCGGAAAUUUAAAAAAUGUCGUAAACACGACUGAAUAAGUAAUGUUUAAAUACUCUGGCCGUUUUAGAUCAAGACAGAAACAUCUAAAUAUAAUUAUUAGUUAUUUUUAUCAGUAUGAAGUCUUGUUUUAGCUUUAAUGGGGUUUGAACGCAGCAACUGUUUUCACGUUGUUGGGUAAGAACAAAGAUAAAUAAUGAAUAGUUUUCUUUAAUGGAAUUUAAUGUGAGCUUGUGUGUGCACAAUGUGUCACAUAUCUGUGAUAUUAUAUUUUUAUUCCUCAUAGAAUGUGGGAAUAAUGAAUUAUGGGCCAGGUGUGUAGGAGUUUGACUCCAGUUUCACUUUCCUCUCUGGGUUGGAUAUAAACAUGAAUACAGCUAAAAACGAGGCCAGUAAGCUCGACAGAUAAAUAUUAAACUACUAUGUACAGAUACAAUAUAUAUAAAUAUGUAUACAUGUAUAAACAACAACAUUGUGGACAGAAUUAGACAAUAAUCUCGCGCGCUCUGCUUAAACCUGAUCAUCACGUUCCAGCUCUUUUAGGAUCAUUUUCUCCUUUUAUGGUAAACAAGGACUUCACUUCUGUGAUUAUCCCCCAUGCAUUCCUCAGAAACAUAAGAAUAGUUCAUAGAGCAUCCGCUAUUUUAGAGCCAUGUUCAGGGCCCAAACCGAGGGGAAAUUCCACUUCGUUCAACUGGACCGUAAUUGGAUGCAGCUUUGGUAGUCAGGCCGCCUCGGCCUCCUGCCCGCUCUGAAACAUGCGUGGUUCUCAUUUGAAGCAGCGGUAAAAUAUGGUGGAGAGAGCCUUUUAAUGCAGCCUGCAGUUCAUUUUCCAAUCAUGAAGAAAGAAACAAAAGAAAGAAAGAAAGAAAGAAAGAAAGAAAGAAAGAAAGAAAGAAAGAAGUUCGUGGGCGUGGUCUGUCCAUGAACCUCAGACUGCCAUUGGCCGCCUAACAGGAAGCGUUUCCAGCCAAAGUCUGUCUCUCCCCCCAUCAACCCAAAAUAAACCCCCUCCUCUUCGAAAAUGUUUCCACAGCAAUGUCAGUCAGACUGCAAUACAUCUCCAAGGUGCAUCUCCAUUAACUCUCCCGCCCCUCCACAAACAGACUCAAAGGUAGUCAAAUCACGCGCUCCUGUGUAAAGGGACUAAUAUAAUCAGAGUAGGUGUGCGCACGAGGAUGACGCGCCAGCAGCAGCUCGAGCUACACCCUCUCCAUGUCACCUCAGUGUCAGCCGCCGUCAGGUGGGCUCUCGAGAUGCCGCAGAGCCUCCUCAGAGGUACCGAAGGAGCCAGAACCAAAACACGUUUGCCCUGGAUGCGCGUAACGCACGUGUUUACAGAAUUCCAACAAAAACGACCCCCCCUCCUCCAUCCACCCAACCCCAACAGCAACAUCUUCCUCCUCCUCGUCCUUCUCUACCCACAUCACGCAGGAGCCGAACCGGCAGCUCAGGUCCAGACUGCCGCUUGCAACGGGGACACGUGUUCCGUUUUGGGAGCCUGGACGCCGUGCCAGCGCGUCACCAUCACCACUGUCAUCAUGGAUGCGUCUCUCAGGGUGGUUCCGGUGCGCAUGGAGGCUGCUCGCCGUCACAGCUGCGACGAACCUUUUCUCUUUAAACUCCACAACGAUCUGCGAAUUUGCAGUCCACUACAGCCGGAUCUGUGGUGGCGGAGAUGAUCCGGUGCACACCAUCCCCACCACGAGCUGCCUCGGGCUUCCUUGUGGAUGAGAGCGACCCGUUAUCGCUGGACUCAGAGGAUGAUGACAGGCUAUUUGUUGUCGAGAGGAAGAGUGCUGCUGGUGCUCCAUGACAGACGAUAAGAGGAAUUAACGGGAAGGAGUAUCGAGGGAUGUCAUUCGGUUCCGGUCCAAAAACAGUCGCAGGGACAGCUGCAGCAGCACGGAGGAGGACGGACAGGAGGACCGGGACCACAAACACAAGGUGAUCCCGGUCAGCUGUGUCUGGUUCCGGCGGCGGAUUCCCCGGUCGUCGGCGCCUUGUUGUCGGCCCGGGCUAAGAGGAAGACGGCAGUGCUAUUCCCGCACAGGGCAGCAGCGCCCGGAGAUGGAGCUUGGCUGCUCUUCAGCGUGUACUUGAACCUACAGCGCCGCCUGGAGAUCAGCAGGAGCGUCGACCUGACCUGAUAUGAAGGUGGUCAUUUUGAUUUGUCUCUGGUGGGUUGGUAUAUUAAGAUAAAAAAAAAAAAAAACAUCAAACAUCUAAUUUGGACUCUUGGAUUGGACUGAGGAGUGUCGGCCUGUUACCGCCCUGCAUCGAGGAUUCAGCUCCGAGCAAACGCAGCCUUCGAGGAGGAGGAGACGGCCUCAGAGGAGAGUAUAAGCUGGAUAUGUCGGUUAGAUGUUCAAGACGGUGCCUGAAGAGUGGAGUCAGCUCUAACAUAUCAUCUUACAGGACAUAUUGAAUCAUCUCACCGAGCUGAAAUAAGAUGUUGGGUGGUACUACAUGUGCAUAUGAUGGGGGAUCCUCGUCUACGAAAGCAUCCCCCGAAAUGAUCCCUAAAUUAAAUUCUUCUCGAUUUCAUCGUGUAUCAUCACCUUGCUUCUCGUGAAGCAACAGGAACAGCUCGAGAGGUUUUCCAAACUUCUUUUCGCAUCGGGGUCACGCAGUUGGAUAUUCAUUAAGCCAAGCAGGAACCUGGUGCUGAAGGGAUUUUACUUGUUAGAUAUGAUUUACUGCAGCAGUCUGACCUCCCGCUGCUGGAUUCAGUCACAUGCACUCUAAUCAUUUGAUUAUAACCAGAGGACGGCAAUACUUCCAGUCUUGCAACUAUCACAGAGUUAUUGUACUUGCGUACAAUACGAUUAAAAUGUAAUUCACUUAGCAUGGAUUUGCAUUUGUCAGUCUUUCAGAUGACUAUUUGCAUUAAUUAAACUUAGUCUGCGUUCUUUAGGUGACUUUGUGGGGCUAGCCUUGGAAUGUUUUGGGAAGGGUAAGAGUGAAACUGAUGAAGCAGUCUAAGUCAGAGUUUGUGCUAAUGUCUUCUGUAAAAUAGAAUCAAUAAAAAACAGCUAAAUUACUUAA
Long non-coding RNA from Larimichthys crocea (large yellow croaker), 3987 nucleotides. RefSeq lists it as uncharacterized. Lineage: Eukaryota; Metazoa; Chordata; Actinopteri; Sciaenidae. The transcript is spliced from 4 exons. The record is from RefSeq and is a predicted model, not a curated record.